Musca domestica (house fly) is the source of this 509-nucleotide long non-coding RNA. RefSeq lists it as uncharacterized. Lineage: Eukaryota; Metazoa; Arthropoda; Insecta; Diptera; Muscidae. The record is from RefSeq and is a predicted model, not a curated record. The transcript is spliced from 2 exons.
AGCCUGUUCCACGAUGUCGAAAGAACACGUUCGCACAACUUUUACACGACAAACAGCUGAUUUCCGUUCCACUAAAAUCCAUCAGAACGAAAAUUUGCACGAAAAUCAAAGCGAACGAAAACGUAAGCGUUUCAGUGUAAUUUUGCGUUCCACUAUCUUUUUUCUUUCGUACGCAUGCGAACACAAAUGUCAAAAUCAGUCACUUGUGUGUUUGCUGUCGAAUGAUAAAAAUUAAGGAAAAUUGUUUUAACAUAAACAUUCCUUGAUUGAAAAUGGAAAGAAAAAUCACGAAAAAACUACACAGCUGCGGGCACUAGUUGAGUAUAUGGGGGAGAAUCCUAAGUUCGCCAGAGGAGUGCCAAUUUUUGGAAGCAGCAGGCAAUCCCAUGAAGACCACUGGAAGACACAAACCUAGAAAAAAUCAUUUUUUUAUUAUUUCAAAAAUGUAAAAAUACAAUCAUACUUACUGGUUGUUAGGUACUUCAAAUAAAUUCGAAGCAUCUCUUAAA